This 253-nucleotide ribosomal RNA is filed under the name uncultured bacterium. RNAcentral's name for it is "partial 16S ribosomal RNA". It matches the Rfam family "Bacterial small subunit ribosomal RNA", at positions 524 to 776 of the family's 1533-position model. The record is from RNAcentral.
UACGAAUGGGGCUAGCGUUGCUCGGAAUUACUGGGCGUAAAGCGCACGUAGGCGGUUUCUUAAGUCGGGGGUGAAAUCCUGGAGCUCAACUCCAGAACUGCCUUCGAUACUGGGAAACUUGAGUCCGGGAGAGGUGAGUGGAACUGCGAGUGUAGAGGUGAAAUUCGUAGAUAUUCGCAAGAACACCAGUGGCGAAGGCGGCUCACUGGCGCGGUACUGACGCUGAGGUGCGAAAGCGUGGGGAGCAAACAGG